AUUUUCAGCACUGCUCACAAAUGAAACAGCUCUGCUGUUUGUAGCAAUUCGCUCAAACUGAAUUGAUCUUACUUCAGUGUUUCAUUCCAUGUGGCAAAGCCUCCAAUAAUGAUUAUACAUCUGUUUGAUGUCCAGAUAAAAUUAGCUGAGGGCUGCACUACAGAACAUCUGUUUUGACGACGUCUUUUGUCAAUAAGGGCUGUGAGAAACAGAAUAAAGAUUUGAAAUCAUGAGCAGGUGACCCAGUUUCUGUGUCUCCAUUAACUUCCCAUCUUAACCUUGCCUCUUCCUUUUUGGAUUUCGUGGGAGAGAGUUAAUGGAGUAUUGUAGUACUUUUAUGAAAGGCAGUUGUUACAAGAUUUGUCACAAGGGCUGUAUCCAGGGGCAAGUUCAAGCUCAAACCGGUGCGCAACGUUUUGCUUUGGUUUGAACGACAUGCUUCCUGGAAACGAUGUGCAACGGGGUUUGAGAUACAUUUUCUCUUGUUCGGUUGGUGUGUCAAAAAUGUCACCCCAAUCAGCAGCAACAUGUAUAUAAACAACAUGGUAUUAAAGAGACAGCUCACACAAUGUAAUUAACAUCAAAAUAAAUUUACAAGAGCAAGUAUAUUGUUUGCACAUGUUUAUUUACAUUACAG
Molecule: long non-coding RNA, 637 nt
Organism: Cyprinus carpio carpio
Lineage: Eukaryota; Metazoa; Chordata; Actinopteri; Cypriniformes; Cyprinidae
Source: Ensembl